GAUGAAGAACGUAGCGAAAUGCGAUAAGUAAUGUGAAUUGCAGAAUUCAGUGAAUCAUCGAAUCUUUGAACGCACAUUGCGCCCCUUGGUAUUCCGAGGGGCAUGCCUGUUCGAGCGUCAUUUCAACCCUCAAGCCCAGCUUGGUGUUGGGGAUCGGCACAGGCGCCCUCGGGCGCCCGCCGUCCCCUAAAUCUAGUGGCGGUCCCGCUGCAGCCUCCUCUGCGUAGUAGUUUUCUCCUCGCAAGGGCAGCUCGGUGGCGACCUCGCCGUAAAACCCCCAACUUCUGAAAGGUUGACCUCGAAUCAGGUAGGAAUACCCGCUGAACUUAAGCAUAUCAAUAAGCGGAGGA
Molecule: unclassified non-coding RNA, 350 nt
Filed under: soil metagenome
Description: partial contains 5.8S ribosomal RNA, internal transcribed spacer 2, and large subunit ribosomal RNA
Rfam family: 5.8S ribosomal RNA (bases 1-120)
Source: RNAcentral